RNAcentral lists this ribosomal RNA (467 nucleotides) under uncultured bacterium. RNAcentral's name for it is "partial 16S ribosomal RNA". It matches the Rfam family "Bacterial small subunit ribosomal RNA", at positions 28 to 507 of the family's 1533-position model. The record is from RNAcentral.
GACGAACGCUGGCGGCGUGCUUAACACAUGCAAGUCGAACGGAAAGGCCCUGCUUUUGUGGGGUGCUCGAGUGGCGAACGGGUGAGUAACACGUGAGUAACCUGCCCUUGACUUUGGGAUAACUUCAGGAAACUGGGGCUAAUACCGGAUAGGAGCUCCUGCUGCAUGGUGGGGGUUGGAAAGUUUCGGCGGUUGGGGAUGGACUCGCGGCUUAUCAGCUUGUUGGUGGGGUAGUGGCUUACCAAGGCUUUGACGGGUAGCCGGCCUGAGAGGGUGACCGGCAAAAUGGGAAUGAGGUACCGGCCCAAACUCUUCGGGGGGGCAGCGGUGGGAAUAUUGCACAAUGGGCGGAAGCCUGAUGCAGCAACGCCGCGUGCGGGAUGACGGCCUUCGGGUUGUAAACCGCUUUCGCCUGUGACGAAGCGUGAGUGACGGUAAUGGGUAAAGAAGCACCGGCUAACUACGUG